CAUCAGGUGAAGAUGUGCGUGAUUUCAGCAAGGUGCUGAAAAAUAAGUUCAGAUCAAAGAAAUACUUUGCCAAACAUCCUCGCUUGGGUUAUUUACCAGUACAAACAGUUCUAGAAGGCGAGAACCUUGAGACGACACAAUCAUCGCCUUGGAAGCUUCAUCACGAUACUACUUUGAUUCUUCUUCCCUCUUCAGAAAUGCAAUGUGCAAAUUCAAUUCCAUGGUUUUGGAAGUCCCAUUGAGAACACGAUUCAUUUGUGCCGGCAUAAUGCUCUGACCGAGAAAGAAUUGAAGGAAAAAAGCAAUGAAAGUGCCGUUCAUGUUUUGCACGGCGAGCUGCUGAAUACUAACCGGUCUCACACCAUUACCAUCACCUUGCCCUUGUGAAGGCAGAUAUGGAUAAGGUUCUCAAAGCUGAUAGAAGAUUGAAACCACUCUCGUCCUGUG
Molecule: long non-coding RNA, 447 nt
Organism: Stegostoma tigrinum
Lineage: Eukaryota; Metazoa; Chordata; Chondrichthyes; Orectolobiformes; Stegostomatidae
Exons: 3
Source: RefSeq, a predicted model, not a curated record